UAGUCCACGCCGUAAACGAUGGUUACUAGUUGUUCGGAUUUCGGUCUGAGUGACUAAGCGAAAGUGAUAAGUAACCCACCUGGGGAGUACGUUCGCAAGAAUGAAACUCAAAGGAAUUGACGGGGGCCCGCACAAGCGGUGGAGCAUGUGGUUUAAUUCGAUGAUACGCGAGGAACCUUACCAGGGCUUAAAUGUAGAUUGACAGGUUUAGAGAUAGACUUUUCUUCGGACAAUUUACAAGGUGCUGCAUGGUGGUCGUCAGCUCGUGCCGUGAGGUGUCAGGUUAAGUCCUAUAACGAGCGCAACCCCUGUUGUUAGUUGCCAGCGAUUCAAGUCGGGAACUCUAACAAGACUGCCAGUGCAAACUGUGAGGAAGGUGGGGAUGACGUCAAAUCAUCACGGCCCUUACGUCCUGGGCUACACACGUGCUACAAUGGUAGGGACAGAGAGCAGCCACUUCGCGAGAAGGAGCGAAUCUAUAAACCCUAUCACAGUUCGGAUCGGAGUCUGC
Molecule: ribosomal RNA, 511 nt
Filed under: uncultured bacterium
Lineage: Bacteria
Description: bacterial SSU rRNA
Rfam family: Bacterial small subunit ribosomal RNA
Source: RNAcentral